CAGCAGCCACGGUAACACAGAGGGUGCGAGCGUUAAUCGGAUUUACUGGGCGUAAAGCGUGCGUAGGCGGCUAAUUGAGUCGGAUGUGAAAUCCCCGAGCUUAACUUGGGAAUUGCAUUCGAUACUGGUUAGCUAGAGUGUGGGAGAGGAUGGUAGAAUUCCAGGUGUAGCGGUGAAAUGCGUAGAGAUCUGGAGGAAUACCGAUGGCGAAGGCAGCCAUCUGGCCUAACACUGACGCUGAGGUACGAAAGCAUGGGGAGCAAACAGGAUUAGAUACCCGCGUAGUCCCUGUCUCUUAUAA
Molecule: ribosomal RNA, 301 nt
Filed under: uncultured bacterium
Lineage: Bacteria
Description: partial 16S ribosomal RNA
Rfam family: Bacterial small subunit ribosomal RNA
Source: RNAcentral